GCCCUUCGUGCCAGCAGCCGCGGUAAUACGGAGGGUGCGAGCGUUAAUCGGAAUGACUGGGCGUAAAGGGCAUGUAGGCGGAUAAUUAAGUUAGGUGUGAAAGCCCUGGGCUCAACCUAGGAAUUGCACUUAAAACUGGUUAACUAGUGUAUUGUAGAGGAAGGUAGAAUUCCACGUGUAGCGGUGAAAUGCGUAGAGAUGUGGAGGAAUACCGGUGGCGAAGGCGGCCUUCUGGACAGAUACUGACGCUGAGAUGCGAAAGCGUGGGGAGCAAACAGGAUUAGGUACCCUGGUAGUCCACGCUGUAAACGAUGUCGAUUUGGAGUUUGUUGCCUAGAGUGAUGGGCUCCGAAGCUAACGCGAUAAAUCGACCGCCUGGGGAGUACGGCCGCAAGGUUAAAACUCAAAUGAAUUGACGGGGGCCCGCACAAGCGGUGGAGCAUGUGGUUUAAUUCGAUGCAACGCGAAGAACCUUACCUGGUCUUGACAUCCACAGAAUCUUGCAGAGAUGCGAGGGUGCCUUCGGGAACUGUGAGACAGGUGCUGCAUGGCUGUCGUCAGCUCGUGUUGUGAAAUGUUGGGUUAAGUCCCGCAACGAGCGCAACCCUUAUCCUUUGUUGCCAUCGGUUCGGCCGGGAACUCAAAGGAGACUGCCGUUGAUAAAGCGGAGGAAGGUGGGGACGACGUCAAGUCAUCAUGGCCCUUACGACCAGGGCUACACACGUGCUACAAUGGCGUAUACAAAGGGAGGCGACCUCGCGAGAGCAAGCGGACCUCAUAAAGUACGUCUAAGUCCGGAUUGGAGUCUGCAACUCGACUCCAUGAAGUCGGAAUCGCUAGUAAUCGUGAAUCAGAAUGUCACGGUGAAUACGUUCCCGGGCCUUGUACACACCGCCCGUCACACCAUGGGAGUGGGUUGCACCAGAAGUAGAUAGCUUAACCGCGAGGGGGGCGUUUACCACGGUGUGGUCCAUGACUGGGGUGAAGUCGUAAC
RNAcentral lists this ribosomal RNA (994 nucleotides) under uncultured Gammaproteobacteria bacterium. RNAcentral describes it as "bacterial SSU rRNA". It matches the Rfam family "Bacterial small subunit ribosomal RNA", at positions 498 to 1492 of the family's 1533-position model. Lineage: Bacteria; Pseudomonadati; Pseudomonadota; Gammaproteobacteria. The record is from RNAcentral.